AUACGGAGGGGGUUAGCGUUGUUCGGAAUUACUGGGCGUAAAGCGCACGUAGGCGGAUUGGAAAGUUGGGGGUGAAAUCCCAGGGCUCAACCCUGGAACUGCCUCCAAAACUAACAGUCUAGAGUUCGAGAGAGGUGAGUGGAAUUCCAAGUGUAGAGGUGAAAUUCGUAGAUAUUUGGAGGAACACCAGUGGCGAAGGCGGCUCACUGGCUCGAUACUGACGCUGAGGUGCGAAAGCGUGGGGAGCAAACAGAAUUAGAAACCCUUGUAGUCC
Molecule: ribosomal RNA, 274 nt
Filed under: uncultured bacterium
Lineage: Bacteria
Description: partial 16S ribosomal RNA
Rfam family: Bacterial small subunit ribosomal RNA
Source: RNAcentral